RNAcentral lists this ribosomal RNA (2913 nucleotides) under Xenorhabdus bakwenae. RNAcentral describes it as "Xenorhabdus sp. SF857 23S ribosomal RNA". It matches the Rfam family "Bacterial large subunit ribosomal RNA". The record is from RNAcentral. Lineage: Bacteria; Pseudomonadati; Pseudomonadota; Gammaproteobacteria; Enterobacterales; Morganellaceae.
GGUUAAGCGACUAAGCGUACACGGUGGAUGCCUAGGCAGUCAGAGGCGAUGAAGGACGUGCUAAUCUGCGAAAAGCGCCGGUGAGCUGAUAUGAAGCGCUGUCAGCCGGCGAUGUCCGAAUGGGGAAACCCGGUGCAAUCCGUUGCACCAUCAUUAACUGAAUUCAUAGGUUAAUGAGGCGAACCGGGGGAACUGAAACAUCUCAGUACCCCGAGGAAAAGAAAUCAACCGAGAUUCCCCCAGUAGCGGCGAGCGAACGGGGAGGAGCCCAGAGCCAUCAGCAUGACACGCCUCAGGAGAACGGUCUGGAAAGGCCGGCAGUAAAGGGUGAAAGCCCCGUAUCCGAAGUGGUGUGUUGUGUGAGCUCGAAGAGUAGGGCGGGACACGUGAUAUCCUGUCUGAACAUGGGGGGACCAUCCUCCAAGGCUAAAUACUCCUGACUGACCGAUAGUGAACCAGUACCGUGAGGGAAAGGCGAAAAGAACCCCGGCGAGGGGAGUGAAAGAGAACCUGAAACCGUGUACGUACAAGCAGUGGGAGCCCUGAUUUAUCAGGGUGACUGCGUACCUUUUGUAUAAUGGGUCAGCGACUUAUAUUCUGUAGCAAGGUUAACCGUAUAGGGGAGCCGCAGGGAAACCGAGUCUUAACUGGGCGUUAAGUUGCAGGGUAUAGACCCGAAACCCGGUGAUCUAGCCAUGGGCAGGUUGAAGGUUGGGUAACACUAACUGGAGGACCGAACCGACUAAUGUUGAAAAAUUAGCGGAUGACUUGUGGCUGGGGGUGAAAGGCCAAUCAAACCGGGAGAUAGCUGGUUCUCCCCGAAAGCUAUUUAGGUAGCGCCUCGUGAAGUCAUCUUCGGGGGUAGAGCACUGUUUCGGCUAGGGGGUCAUCCCGACUUACCAACCCGAUGCAAACUGCGAAUACCGAAGAAUGUUAUCACGGGAGACACACGGCGGGUGCUAACGUCCGUCGUGAAGAGGGAAACAACCCAGACCGCCAGCUAAGGUCCCCAAGUCAUGGUUAAGUGGGAAACGAAGUGGGAAGGCUCAGACAGCCAGGAUGUUGGCUUAGAAGCAGCCAUCAUUUAAAGAAAGCGUAAUAGCUCACUGGUCGAGUCGGCCUGCGCGGAAGAUGUAACGGGGCUAAACCAUGCACCGAAGCUGCGGCAGCGACACGAAUGUGUUGCUGGGUAGGGGAGCGUUCUGUAAGCCGUUGAAGGUGAACUGUGAGGUUUGCUGGAGGUAUCAGAAGUGCGAAUGCUGACAUAAGUAACGAUAAAGCGGGUGAAAAACCCGCUCGCCGGAAGACCAAGGGUUCCUGUCCAACGUUAAUCGGGGCAGGGUGAGUCGACCCCUAAGGCGAGGCUGAAAAGCGUAGUCGAUGGGAAACAGGUUAAUAUUCCUGUACGGGCAAUAAUUGCGACGGGGGGGACGGAGAAGGCUAGGCAAUCCGGGCGACGGUCGUCCCGGUUUAAGUGUGUAGGUGGGAUAAUCAGGCAAAUCCGGUUAUCCACAGCACUGAGGCACGAUGACGAGGCACUACGGUGCUGAAGUUGCUGAUGCCCCGCUUCCAGGAAAAGCCCCUAAGCUUCAGAUUAGUGCUCAUCGUACCCCAAACCGACACAGGUGGUCAGGUAGAGAAUACUCAGGCGCUUGAGAGAACUCGGGUGAAGGAACUAGGCAAAAUGGUGCCGUAACUUCGGGAGAAGGCACGCUGGCGUUAGGUGAAGGACCGAGCGUCCGGAGCUGAGGCCAGUCGCAGAUACCAGCUGGCUGCAACUGUUUAAUAAAAACACAGCACUGUGCAAACACGAAAGUGGACGUAUACGGUGUGACGCCUGCCCGGUGCUGGAAGGUUAAUUGAUGGGGUUAUCGCCUGGCGAGAAGCUCCUGAUCGAAGCCCCAGUAAACGGCGGCCGUAACUAUAACGGUCCUAAGGUAGCGAAAUUCCUUGUCGGGUAAGUUCCGACCUGCACGAAUGGCGUAAUGAUGGCCAGGCUGUCUCCACCCGAGACUCAGUGAAAUUGAACUCGCUGUGAAGAUGCAGUGUACCCGCGGCAAGACGGAAAGACCCCGUGAACCUUUACUAUAGCUUGACACUGAACCUUGAGCCUUGAUGUGUAGGAUAGGUGGGAGGCUGUGAAGUGCAGACGCCAGUCUGCACGGAGCCAUCCUUGAAAUACCACCCUUGAAUGUUUGAUGUUCUAACGCCGGCCCGUUAUCCGGGUUGCGGACAGUGUCUGGUGGGUAGUUUGACUGGGGCGGUCUCCUCCCAAAGCGUAACGGAGGAGCACGAAGGUUGGCUAAUCCUGGUCGGACAUCAGGAGGUUAGUGCAAUGGCAUAAGCCAGCUUGACUGCGAGAGUGACAGCUCGAGCAGGUGCGAAAGCAGGUCAUAGUGAUCCGGUGGUUCUGAAUGGAAGGGCCAUCGCUCAACGGAUAAAAGGUACUCCGGGGAUAACAGGCUGAUACCGCCCAAGAGUUCAUAUCGACGGCGGUGUUUGGCACCUCGAUGUCGGCUCAUCACAUCCUGGGGCUGAAGUAGGUCCCAAGGGUAUGGCUGUUCGCCAUUUAAAGUGGUACGCGAGCUGGGUUUAGAACGUCGUGAGACAGUUCGGUCCCUAUCUGCCGUGGGCGCUGGAAGAUUGCAAGGGGCUGCUCCUAGUACGAGAGGACCGGAGUGGACGCACCACUGGUGUUCGGGUUGUCAUGCCAAUGGCAUUGCCCGGUAGCUAAGUGCGGAAGAGAUAACCGCUGAAAGCAUCUAAGCGGGAAACUUGCCUUAAGAUGAGUCUUCCCUUACUCCUUUGAGGGUACUGAAGGACCGUCCGAGACGAGGACGUGGAUAGGCCGGGUGUGUAAGCGUUGCGAGACGUUGAGCUAACCGGUACUAAUGAGCCGUGCGGCUUAACCUG